RNAcentral lists this transfer RNA (68 nucleotides) under Idioscopus ventrispinus. Its description in RNAcentral is "tRNA-Trp". Lineage: Eukaryota; Metazoa; Arthropoda; Insecta; Hemiptera; Cicadellidae. The record is from RNAcentral.
UAAGAUUUUAAGUUAGAUAAACUACUAACCUUCAAAGUUAAAAUCAUUAUUGUUUUAAUAAAUCUUAG